Molecule: non-coding RNA, 69 nt
Organism: Podarcis lilfordi (Lilford's wall lizard)
Lineage: Eukaryota; Metazoa; Chordata; Lepidosauria; Squamata; Lacertidae
Source: the annotation of a GenBank genome assembly
UUUGUAGCUCAGUGGUAGUGCAUCUCCUUUGCAAGCAGAAGGUCCCAGUUUCAAUCCCUAAUAGCACAU